Punica granatum (pomegranate) is the source of this 406-nucleotide non-coding RNA. NCBI's taxonomy places the organism in Eukaryota, Viridiplantae, Streptophyta, Magnoliopsida, Myrtales, Lythraceae. The record is from RefSeq and is a predicted model, not a curated record.
CGACUUUUGAGCUAACAGGCAAUCUCGCUUUUAAAACUGUCCUAUUCCCUCCUUUGGCAAUCGUCACUCGCCGUGUAAUCUACUUUCAACUUCCUAACAAUUAACGGAGUAAUGAUAACAUGCUUCUAAUGCCUUUAAUCUUGGAUUGGAGGAACCUGAUGCGGGACUUCGAGAAGAUCCGGAUGAAGCAUGUAUAUCGUGAAGCCAACUCUGUGGCCGACUACCUCACUCGGAUAGCUAGGAAUAAUUAUGUUACUGUCUAUGACAUUGUUUAUGGGCUCUUGAACAUUUAUUCGCUGAUGUUGUCGGUGUUUUGAGCGCCCGCUUAGCUUGUAUGAGCCAUGCUUAUGUGGCGAAUUUGGAUACUCUGAAUUAAUAUGAUUCUACUUUGCUUUAAAAAAAAAAA